AUUGAACGCUGGCGGCAUGCUUUACACAUGCAAGUCGAACGGCAGCACGGGGGCAACCCUGGUGGCGAGUGGCGAACGGGUGAGUACUGUAUCGGAACGUACCCGGCAAUGGGGGAUAGCUCGGCGAAAGCCGGCUUAAUACCGCAUAUGCCCUGAGGGGGAAAGCAGGGGAUCGAAAGACCUUGCGUUGUCGGCGCGGACGAUAUCAGAUAAGCUAGUUGGGGGGGAAAAGGCCUACCACGGCGACGAGCUGUAGCUGGUCUGAGAGGACGACCAGCCACACUGGGACUGAGACACGGCCCAGACUCCUACGGGAGGCGGCAGUGGGGAAUUUUGGACAAUGGGGGCAACCCUGAUCCAGCCAUGCCGCGUGAGUGAAGAGGGCCUUCGGGUUGUAAAGCUCUUUCGGACGGAAAGAAAUCGCACUUGAUAAUACCUUGUGUGGAUGACGGUACCGUAAGAAGAAGCACCGGCUAACUACGUGCCAGCAGCCGCCGUAA
This 500-nucleotide ribosomal RNA is filed under the name uncultured bacterium. RNAcentral's name for it is "partial 16S ribosomal RNA". It matches the Rfam family "Bacterial small subunit ribosomal RNA", at positions 29 to 523 of the family's 1533-position model. The record is from RNAcentral.